This 325-nucleotide long non-coding RNA is filed under the name Salvia miltiorrhiza (redroot sage). RNAcentral describes it as "long non-coding RNA (SMIL_LNC010100)". The record is from RNAcentral. Lineage: Eukaryota; Viridiplantae; Streptophyta; Magnoliopsida; Lamiales; Lamiaceae.
UAGGUCUUUCCACAAGGUUGUAAUGGGGCUAGGGUGCAUGGGUAGGAUAAACAAAAGUGGAUAAACAAGGCUAAUAAAACCAACAAAAUGCAAGUAGUUCACCACAUUUUUGAAUCCCAAUAACAAACUCAAUCAAAUCAACCAUCAUUCCCAAUACAUCGGCAUUCAAACUCCAACAUUCUCUUCUUUCUCUUUCAUUUUCAUUUUUNUUUUUGAACUAACAUCAUAAUAUCACCUCAUUCUUAAACAACCAACAACCUCUUUUGUCAAUUUCAAUCCUCAAUCAUUCCAACCAAGCACUAAACUUCAAUCAACCUUAUUCUUC